AACGAACGCUGGCGGCAGGCCUAACACAUGCAAGUCGAGCGAUCCUUUCGGGGAUAGCGGCGGACGGGUGAGUAACGCGUGGGAACGUACCCUUUGCUACGGAAUAGCCCCGGGAAACUGGGAGUAAUACCGUAUGUGCCCUCUGGGGGAAAGAUUUAUCGGCAAAGGAUCGGCCCGCGUUGGAUUAGGUAGUUGGUGGGGUAAUGGCCUACCAAGCCGACGAUCCGUAGCUGGUUUGAGAGGAUGAUCAGCCACACUGGGACUGAGACACGGCCCAGACUCCUACGGGAGGCAGCAGUGGGGAAUCUUAGACAAUGGGGGCAACCCUGAUCUAGCCAUGCCGCGUGAGUGAUGAAGGCCCUAGGGUUGUAAAGCUCUUUCAGCUGGGAAGAUAAUGACGGUACCAGCAGAAGAAGCCCCGGCUAACUCCGUG
Molecule: ribosomal RNA, 433 nt
Filed under: uncultured bacterium
Lineage: Bacteria
Description: bacterial SSU rRNA
Rfam family: Bacterial small subunit ribosomal RNA
Source: RNAcentral